RNAcentral lists this small RNA (58 nucleotides) under Arabidopsis thaliana (thale cress). RNAcentral's name for it is "ATSL282490". Lineage: Eukaryota; Viridiplantae; Streptophyta; Magnoliopsida; Brassicales; Brassicaceae. The record is from RNAcentral.
GGCAUCCUUGAUCAUAGGUUUACUACAAUCUGGAGGUCCAUAAUUCCUCUAAUCUCGG